GACGAACGCUGGCGGCGUGCUUAACACAUGCAAGUCGAACGGAAAGGCCCUGCUUGCAGGGUACUCGAGUGGCGAACGGGUGAGUAACACGUGGGUGAUCUGCCCUGCACCUCGGGAUAAGCUUGGGAAACUGGGUCUAAUACCGGAUAGGAACCAUCUUUAGUGUGGUGGUUGGAAAGUUUUUUCGGUGUAGGAUGAGCUCGCGGCCUAUCAGCUUGUUGGUGGGGUAAUGGCCUACCAAGGCGGCGACGGGUAGCCGGCCUGAGAGGGUGUACGGCCACAUUGGGACUGAGAUACGGCCCAGACUCCUACGGGAGGCAGCAGUGGGGAAUAUUGCACAAUGGGCGCAAGCCUGAUGCAGCGACGCCGCGUGGGGGAUGAAGGCCUUCGGGUUGUAAACUCCUUUCGCUAGGGACGAAGCUUUGUUGUGACGGUACCUAGAUAAGAAGCACCGGCUAACUACGU
RNAcentral lists this ribosomal RNA (465 nucleotides) under uncultured bacterium. RNAcentral's name for it is "partial 16S ribosomal RNA". It matches the Rfam family "Bacterial small subunit ribosomal RNA", at positions 28 to 506 of the family's 1533-position model. The record is from RNAcentral.